AGCCCGAUCCCGCUGCCGCUCUGUGCGAAGCCUUGACACCGCUUCGCGCAGAGCGGUAAAUAGGGUUUUCCCGUACGAGGCAUCUAACCUGGUACCUCCAGUAAUCGCAGGAUUGUUGAUAGCCACUAGAAGAAUUAAGCUUUGAUGAUCUAUUGUCGAAUAGCACUACAUAUAUCUGAACAAAUAAGCAUGUACCGUAUCCAUGUGGAAGCCAAUAGCUAGUUUGUUGUGGCCUUCUGGGUAUGCUACGUGACAGGGGAGAAGAACAUCUAGGCAAUGGGUCAGUUGAUUUUUUUUUGUUUGAGAAAUGGUAUGUUUAUUUGAAGAUAUGAAGAGAAUGCUCGGGUCACGUCAGGAUUACAGAGUUAUUUGGCUCUUUGAAUGGAAGUAUGUUAGUCAUGAAAACUUCAGAAAAAACAAAAAAAAUAUUAAAAAGUCAAAUGACGUGACAUGAUGCCUUGCAUUUGUCAUACAAGCCAAUGAAAAAAGAAUAGGAUCAUUUCAUGUAUGUUGAGAAAUAACAUGCUCUCAAACGGAGUUUUCUGGUCUACCCACACACGCUACGUUCAACAAGAUGUUUUUUGGGGCUUUCUCGAAAUGAUCACAAAUUUUGCAAGAAGGUGGGCAUGUUCAUG
RNAcentral lists this long non-coding RNA (635 nucleotides) under Hordeum vulgare. RNAcentral describes it as "long non-coding RNA (HVUL_LNC020345)". Lineage: Eukaryota; Viridiplantae; Streptophyta; Magnoliopsida; Poales; Poaceae. The record is from RNAcentral.